CACCCUGGUAAUGGGCAAAGAGACCCCUUGGUGGUGGUGUCUUCUAUCAGUCAAGGGUAGGGCAUAUGGCAGUCCUUUGGUCAUCCUAGUUUGGUGCCUAGCUUGGGGACCAAAGCUGUUUCACGCCUAGGGCAUAUAA
This is a small nucleolar RNA of Microtus ochrogaster (prairie vole), 139 nucleotides long. RefSeq annotates it as small nucleolar RNA SNORA48. NCBI's taxonomy places the organism in Eukaryota, Metazoa, Chordata, Mammalia, Rodentia, Cricetidae. The record is from RefSeq and is a predicted model, not a curated record.